Populus trichocarpa (black cottonwood) is the source of this 1211-nucleotide long non-coding RNA. RefSeq lists it as uncharacterized. The record is from RefSeq and is a predicted model, not a curated record. The transcript has 2 exons. Lineage: Eukaryota; Viridiplantae; Streptophyta; Magnoliopsida; Malpighiales; Salicaceae.
GCUUUUUGAGACCUGAAGCCAUGGCUACCGGGAAGAGACUCUUCAACUUGUUGCAUCCUGUGAUCUCAAGUCGACACAAAUUAGGGAAGCAUGGAGAUUGGAGAUCACUUCCUGAAAAUAUCUGAUCCUUUUCAUCAUCAUUAUCCUUAGCAACGAUUUGCUCCAAUUCCUCACAAGCUGAUAUCUCUAGAACUUUCAGUUGAACUAGACUAGCAAUCAUGCUGUCUGUGAAUACAUGUGUCAGUCUCUUACAGUCGUUCACCUUCAAAGUAGUCAAAUUGCUCGGCAGGAUACCCUUCCAUAUACACCUCAAGUCUGGCAAUAAGUUCAAGCGUAAUGUUUCCAAACUAACGAGUGAAAGUUCACGCCCACCUCUUCUAUUAGUUACCAAACGUCCAACUUGCAUUAAAUCUUGUACUCCUUCCAAGUUUCCAAUAGAUAUUUCUUUCAAAUUCAUAAACCCCUGCAUCAAAAGAAAACAAGGGUACCAAUUUGUUAGAUGUAAUUCAUAGUAAUUAUUGCGCACUUUUAAAACUAAAUAAGAGGCACGAAAUCAAGUCAAAUCAGCAGCACCUCUGAUUGAGCACUCAUUGAGUCAUUUGAUGUAGUAGCAGAUUCUGUGGUCAGCUUUGGGCAUCCAUCCACCUCCAACUUCUUCAAAUGAGGGAACAAGAAAUCAUAACAUCCGAGACUAAAGCAGGAAAUACUUGGUAAUUGUACAAGCAACAACUCCUGCAGAUCAGGGAGCAUCAUCUCCUUCUCAACAUUGACAGGUGAAGCAUGAUCAUCCUGCCCAAAUACUCCCAAUAAUUGAGAGGAUUCUCUUACUUUAAGUAUUUGGAGCUUUUUGAGACCUGAAGCCAUGGCUUCUGGGAAGAGACUCUUCAACUUGUUGCAUCCUCUGAUCUCAAGUCGACACAAAUUAGGAAAGCAUGCAGAUUGGAGAUCACUUCCUGAAAAUAUCUGAUCCUUUUCAUCAUCAUUAUCCUUAGCAAUGAUUUGCUCCAAUUCCUCACAGUUUGAUAUCUCUAGAACUUUCAGUUGAACUAGACUAGCAAUCAUGCUGUCUGUGAAUACAUGUGUCAGUCUGUUACACCUUUUCACCUUCAAAGUAGUCAAAUUGCUCGGCACUAGGCCCUUCCAUAUACACCUCAAGUCAGGCAAUAAGUUCAACUGUAAUGUUUCCAAACUCACGAGUGAAAGUUCAUGCC